UACGUAGGUGGCGAGCGUUGUCCGGAUUUACUGGGCGUAAAGAGCGCGCAGGCGGUCGUCCAAGUCGCGUGUGAAAGCCCCCGGCUCAACUGGGGAGGGUCACGCGAUACUGAUCGACUCGAAGGCAGGAGAGGGAAGCGGAAUUCCAGGUGUAGCGGUGAAAUGCGUAGAUAUCUGGAGGAAUACCGGUGGCGAAGGCGGCAUCCUGGACCAUUACUGACGCUGAAUCGCGAAAGCUAGGGGAGCAAACGGG
RNAcentral lists this ribosomal RNA (253 nucleotides) under uncultured bacterium. RNAcentral describes it as "partial 16S ribosomal RNA". It matches the Rfam family "Bacterial small subunit ribosomal RNA", at positions 524 to 776 of the family's 1533-position model. The record is from RNAcentral.